This is a long non-coding RNA of Gasterosteus aculeatus (three-spined stickleback), 1095 nucleotides long. NCBI's taxonomy places the organism in Eukaryota, Metazoa, Chordata, Actinopteri, Perciformes, Gasterosteidae. The record is from Ensembl.
AUGGUGCUCUCACUUUCAGGGCUCUGUACACGUUGGCAGAGACACACCUGGCGGGGAGACAGUCGGCACCUGGAGACCUCAGGUGUGGUGAGACAAUGCAGAGGGUGGAGGGUGUUAUGUCCAGCCCUGAGUAUUAAGUUAAGUUGGCGGGCUAUUUAUAAUUCUUCGGUUAUGUGUUAUUGUUUACUCACCUCUCGUUUCAGAUUCCUCACUCCCUCCCUCAGGUGUGUGGGUUCCACCUGGGUGAUUGUCAGCCCCUCCCUGAUUGUUUGCACCUGGCCCUCAUCACCCGGUGUAUUUAGUCUGUGGGUUCCUGUCCUCUGUCGCCAGUUCGUCUUUGAUACAAUGUUCCUAGCGUUCCAGCAUUUACUCCUGAUAGCCUCCCUGUUACCGACCCCUGCCUGGUUAACGCGUUACGUCUCUGCCUUUUCCCUGCCGGAUACCUUGCCUGGUGAUCGACUGCCUGCCCAUGUACCGACCUUGGACCGGAACGUUUACGACCUUUGCACCUACCUGCCUCCUGUCGGAUUCUUACACCCGUGUUUGUACUGCCAUCCAACAGUAAAAUUGGUUUACUGCACCUUCUUGUGUCUCCGAGUCGUGCAAUUGAACCCACACACUUGUCUGCACCCUUUACAGAGGGAGGGAGGGAGGAACUGUGCUCAAGUGGAAGACCAUCAGAAAACCCGAGGUCCCCCGAUGCACAGGAUAAAACCGCACGGAAGAAUCGGGGCGCGGUGGCCCUUGAUGCCGUCCACUUGUGCGCACACAGCCUGCACGGACUCUGCCGUGCAGGCGCUCGCCAUCCACCAGAUACAAGUGCAUUGCAGACGCCCCCACGGGCGGAGACAGGCGUGCAAAAUGCAAUCCCCCACAUGUCGACGGGGCGCCACCAACGCUACUCUAACUCACCUUGGCUGGUGCGAGGAGUCUUGGCAGUUGAUAGGAGGAGGAAGUAGGAGGGAGAAAGUAGGAAGGAGAGGAGCAGAUUGUGUCACUCAGCUUCACAAGGCCGGGUCGGAUGUCCAGCCCCCCGUGUGCCAUAAAGAAUGGUUCUUUAAAAGGCUGCGUCGAUCCACAAAGAAAUGUGACUGA